This 72-nucleotide transfer RNA is filed under the name Candidatus Woesearchaeota archaeon. Its description in RNAcentral is "tRNA-Tyr". It matches the Rfam family "tRNA". From Rfam's summary of the family: Transfer RNA (tRNA) molecules are approximately 80 nucleotides in length. Their secondary structure includes four short double-helical elements and three loops (D, anti-codon, and T loops). Further hydrogen bonds mediate the characteristic L-shaped molecular structure. tRNAs have two regions of fundamental functional importance: the anti-codon, which is responsible for specific mRNA codon recognition, and the 3' end, to which the tRNAs corresponding amino acid is attached (by aminoacyl-tRNA synthetases). tRNAs cope with the degeneracy of the genetic code in two manners: having more than one tRNA (with a specific anti-codon) for a particular amino acid; and 'wobble' base-pairing, i.e. permitting non-standard base-pairing at the 3rd anti-codon position. The record is from RNAcentral. Lineage: Archaea; Nanobdellati; Candidatus Woesearchaeota.
CCCUCCAUAGUUCAGCGGUAGAACGCUCGGCUGUAGACCGAGAGAUCCCCGGUUCAAAUCCGGGUGGGGGGA